GGGUUUCUAAAAUCGGUCAUUACCUCAUUGACGCAUGUGAAAAAAAUACUGAUCUUAGAAAAAACUACAAGAAUGUUCAACAUGUUGUCGAAUUCACAAAUCUUAUACAUAAUAAUGUGAUGGUUUAUCUGUGUGUAUUUCUUGCAACGGGAUAUUUAUUAGUCGAAUUUGAAAAGUGCGAUGAUCAUUCAAAACGACAUGCGUGUGGGUUUAUAUUUCCAACCUAUCUUUAUAUAAACAUACACAAUCGGCCAUAUCGUGACUUAUAUAAUUUAGCUUCCGUGUUCUUAUUAGCUUAUGUGUUUGUAACAAUUGUCCUAAGCCUUCAAAUAUUGUAUUUUGCCAUAUUGUAUCUUGAGCUGCUCAACAAAGACGUACAGCAAUCGUUAAAAAUAUCCACGUUUAUUCAGCUUAGAGCAUUGAGAUUGCAAAAGCUUAAGGAAAUACAUCAACAACAAAUAGUUUCCAAUAAAUUAUGGAAGAUUUUAAUGGAAAUAUAUAGGUGGCCCUUAUUACUUCAAUAUGUAACAUCAGUCGUUAAUAUACCCCUAAUACUUAUAUCUUCGUUAAAUGUACGGGAAUACAUUAUAAAAAAAUUGCGAUUCGUAAUCAAACAAUUUUCAGGAAUUUAAAUUGCUGUCACUUGCACAUGUUAGCAUUUAUAUUGCAGGGACGUUUGCUUGUGGUUUCUUCGCUGAGAAAAUGUACAGUAUUGUAAGUUUAUCUAAUUAAUUGCAAAUCUAGCAAACUAUUGAGUAAUUUUUAUAGACUGAACAUUCUCGGCACAAGUUUUUCUAUGCUUGUCCCUGGGACGGAGAUUUGCAAAAUACCAAAUAUCUGAUAUUAAUGAAUUUAAAUUCAAAUCAUGGUUUCAAAAUUAUGCUUGGACACUUCGGAGAAUAUUCAAACGAAGUCGUUUUAAAGGUAGGUGUAUAAUAUUCGAAAAUAAAUUACAAGUAUGCGAUAAUUUUAGAUAUUCAAAUGGUCAUAUUCAAUUUUGAUGGUGUAUGUUCAGUAUGAGCAAUUGAGCAUAAAGGGUUAAAUAAUUAUAUUAAAUAGUUUGUAUUUGUUCUGUGUAAAAUAUUGCUACGGUUUUUAAUGAAAUUUUAUUUGCACGAAUAUAAGUAUCUGAACAAAAGGUUCAUUCCCCAAAUGAAUACAACUUCCCGCUC
Long non-coding RNA from Dalotia coriaria, 1172 nucleotides. RefSeq lists it as uncharacterized. The transcript is spliced from 3 exons. NCBI's taxonomy places the organism in Eukaryota, Metazoa, Arthropoda, Insecta, Coleoptera, Staphylinidae. The record is from RefSeq and is a predicted model, not a curated record.